CCUACGUGUGGCAGCAGUGAGGAAUAUUGGUCAAUGUGCGGGAGCCUGAACCAGCCCAGUCGCGUGAGGGAAGACGGUCCUACGGAUUGUCAACCUCUUUUUCCGGGGAGCACCGGGGUCCUUGCGAGGGCCCAAUGUGAGUACCCGGAUACAACGCAUCGGCUAACUCCGUGCCAGCAGACGCGGUCAUACGUGGGCUGCGAGCGUUAUCCGUAUUUGUUGGGGUUCAAGGGUGCGUAGGCGGGAUGGUAAGUCAGCGGUCAAAUGUCGGGGCUCAAACCCGGCCGGGCGUUGAAACUGGCGGCCUCGAGUGGGCGAGAAGUAUGCGGAAUGCGUGGUGUAGCGGUGAAAUGCGUAGAUAUCAGGAGGAACACCGGUGGCGAAGGCGGCCUGCUGGACUGCAACUGACGUUGAGGCCCGAAAGCGUGGGGAGCAAACAGGAUUAGAUACCCCUGUAGUC
RNAcentral lists this ribosomal RNA (460 nucleotides) under uncultured bacterium. Its description in RNAcentral is "partial 16S ribosomal RNA". It matches the Rfam family "Bacterial small subunit ribosomal RNA", at positions 338 to 795 of the family's 1533-position model. The record is from RNAcentral.